CUUCUGCGAGGGCGCGAGGACUCCAGGAGCCGUCCUGGUUCGAGCAUUUCUGAAGAAACUGAGUUCCCGGCGUUCGCAGCCUGGGAGUCACAGGCGCCCACCCACCGGUAGGUCCUUGAGUUUCGAGAGCCAGUAGCUGAAGGAGAGAGGAGAGGCAAGUGCCUACAACUCCCAGAGCACUGCGCGGAGGCGCCCGGCCGCGCUGUCCUGGCCGCCAGGCUGCCUCUCCCGCUGGGGGCCGCCGCGCUGUCUGCGGGCUACUAGCGCCGGGCCCCUCCGCGUCGCCACGCCUGCCCUUCACAGCCUUGGCCCAUAAGGUCACCGAGGGGCGGGAGGCGCCGCCCGGGCCCUCCUUGGAGGCGGGCGCUGCUCCCGCACCAUCCUCCCCCAGUUCUCUUAGACUCCGGGGUACUUUGGAGGCCGAGACAGACACGCUGUCCCUGCUGCCACGGAGGUCCCUGCUUGCAGGUGCAGGCUGUUAGAGGAGAGGGUCUGAAAACAAGAAAGGGGAAUAGCUGUAUGAUAACUGCUUGAAGGCGAGAGGGCCCAGCGACAGCUCUGUUUUAGACAGGGCCUCCAGGCCUCUUAGACUCAGUCCCUGCCACGCACCCACUCCUGCCCUGGCCGCUGCGACGGCAUAAUCUCGGGAUCUUUGAAGGCAGAUGCGGGGCUAAACCAUCCCACCUGACGGGAACCCUGCCACAGGACCCGACAUAUCCCUGUCUGGACACUGCUGUAACGAGUCAAAGUCAGGAAGGACUAACUGGAGCCCAGAGAUUCCCAGGUGCUGCUGCCUCAGACCUGUGGACUCUUUGGAGGAUCUCUUACAGUUUGUGAACUUCUCAGUUCCUCUACUGCUCCCACAGACAACGUUGCUAAACAUAUUAAUUGGUCCCAUAAAUACUUGAGCAAAACAAAUGCGAAAAUCUGUCCCGAAUUCAGCCUAGAAGAAGCCCAGCCCUGCGCGUCACACUUCUGUGUAGUGGAACCCCCCUUCCCACCCCGCCGCAGGCCACAGCAGGAGGGCCAGCAGACGGAAAGGCGACCCUCUCCUUGUUGAGGAUUCCUUUCGAUUUCCUUCCAGCUGACAUUCUACCACAGUUUUAGCUGCUUGCAAUCCUCUCACCGUCCCUCAUCACCUACAGUGUGUGAUUCAAAUUCCUUAGCACAAUCAAGAAGCCCCUCCUUAGUUUGGAAGUUGCCUAGCUCUCCAAAUUCAACUGCCUACCUUUCCCGUCUGGAACUUGCCAGGCUAGUAAAUUCAGAGGGUUUGCAGAUACGUAGAUGUUCUAUGCUUUACCUAAAAUGCUUUUACCUCCCAGCCAACUUUUUUUUUUUUUUUUGAGACAGAGUCUUGCUCUGUCGCCCAGGCUUGAGUGCAGUGGUGCGAUCUUGGCUCACUGCAACCUCCGCCUCCCAGGUUCAAGCAAUUCUCCUACCUCAGCCUCCUGAGUACCUGGGAUUACAGGUGGUGCCACCACACCCAGCUAAUUUUUGUAUUUUUAGUAGAGACGGGGUUUCACCAUGUUGGUCAGGCUGGUGUCCAACUCCUGACCUCAUGAUCCAUCCCCCUCAGCCUCCCAAAGUGCUGGGAUUUACAGGCAUGAGCCACGGUGCCCAGCUCUCCCAGCCAACUUUUGUCCUUCAAGACCUUGUACCUGUCUGGUCUCUAAAAAGUACCUGGCCUUCCUGUUGAGUCAUACAGCCCUGCCUCCAAGUGUCAGCGUAGUUCAUGCUGGAGACCUCUUAACAGUUCCAUGGUAUGACACUGCGGAUAUGGCUGUCUUUUCUUUGUAUCAGUGUGGUGAUUCAGAGGGUAUACUAGGGAUUCUAGAACGCACUUCUGGCUCAGGGGCUGCUUGUGUAACUUCUGUUUCUCAGCUGCCUGGUUUGUAUCAUGGGAUGAUAGUAUCUCCCCUCAGAGGAUUGCGGUAUUUCAUGAGGUGAUACGUGUAUGGAGGCCAAGUGCUGUUUUAUAUUUUAAGUGAUCUACAUCUUGAUUUUCACAACAACUGUAUAAAAGUGAUACUGUUGGCCAGGUGCGUUAGCUCACGCCUGUAAUCCCAGCACUUUGGGAGGCCAAGGCGGGUGGAUCACCUGAGGUCAGGAGUUCAAGACCGGCCUGGCCAGCAUGGUGACACCUCGUCUGUACUAAAAAUACAAAAAUUAGCCGGGCAUCGUGGCACACGCCUGUAAUCCCAGCUACUCGGGAGGCUGAGGCAUGAGAAUCAUUUGAACCCGGGAGGUGGAGGUUACAGUGAGCUGAGAUCGCACGACUGCACUCCAGAAUGGAUGACAGAGCAAGACUCUGUCUUAAUAAUAGUAUCACUUUUUUUUUUAAUCAACAAUCUCAUUUUGUAAAUGAGGAAAUCAACUUACAGACGACCUGAGUGACUUGCUCACACUGCCAGCCAGGAAAGUGCUAGGAUUUGAGCCCAGACUGUCCAGUUACAGAGAUUACACUCUGCCAUUGUGCCUCUCCAGAAGCACUGGAGGUAGGUCUAGUGCAUAGAGUAAAUGUAAAUGCUGAAACAACUGUGGCCCUAAUGAACAUCCCAUUUCUCCAGCUUUUUACUCUCCCCUUAACUUCUGAAUGACCGUCUGCUUCUAAUCUGCCAACUUGGUCUAAGAUCCUCACGGUGUUUCCUCCUGAUUACUGUUAAUGCACGGAGGUUGUCUGGAAGGUUCAUAGGCAGCCUGAUUGACUCAGUAUGUAUUAGCUGAGCACCUUUGGAGGGCACAGCCUGAGUGGUGGGAAUUAGUUCCUGGGGGCUGUCCUGCGGUGGAGACUCCCGUGAGCCCUCUGUCCUGCUGUAUGAAGGCAGCCAGUGGAAAGGCAUGUCCUCGCUGGUGCUCAAAGUAAUCUGCUACUUCUCUUACUACACUUUUCAUUCAUUCAUUCUUAAAUCGUUGAAGGCAUACUCUGCAGGUACUCUUGGGCACAGAGAUACGGUGUUUAGUAAGACAAACACUGUUCCUGGGUCUUAACGGGCUUUACAUUCCAAUGGGAUAAACAACUUAAGUAAAUAUUUUCAGAGAGGAGUACCAAGAAGAAAAGGAACAGGAUGAUAUAAUGGAGUGACUUGGAGAUCACAGGUGGUAAGAGGUCACUCUAAAAAGGUAACAUUUGAAGGCUGGGCACAAUGGCUCACACCUGUAACCCCAGCACUUUAGGAGGCUGAGGAAGGAGGACAGCUUGAGUCCAGGAGUUUGAGGCCAGCCUGGGCAACAUGGGGAGACCUUGACUCUACAAAAAAUUUAAACAUUAACUAAGUAUGGUGGCACGUGCCUGUAGUCCUAGCUACUGGAGAGGCUGAGGUGAGAGGAUCUCUUGAGCCCAGGAGUUUGAGACUGCAGUGAGCUAUGUUUGUAUUACUACACUCCAGCCUGAGGGACAGAGUGAGACCCUGUCUCUUAAAAACGAAAACCCGACUGUAUCAAAAGGUAACAUUUGAGUGGGACUUGAAAGAGUGUGCAUGCGAAGGACUGAAGACAGAAUGUUCUGUGCAGAGCGAAUUAAUGCAAUGGCUUUGCAGUGCAGAUGGGCCUGGGGUGGUCCAAUAAGGUUAGGACCAAGGUGGCUGGAGCAUCAUGAGACAAGCGUGGUACUUAGCUUGCCUUUGGUUAAGUCACUUUCUCUAUUUGAAUUUCAGUUUCUCACCUGUAAAAUAUGAGUAAUUUUAUCUGUAUUAGCCAGUGUGUAAUUAGAGGAAAAACCAUUUAAUACAGGGUAUUGUUUACAAAGGUGUUGGAAGGGCAUGAGAAACAAGGGGAGAACAAGGGCACCCAAAGCCUGACCCCCACAAGGCUAGAGGAGCAACAGGAAAAUUCGUUUCCAGAGACUGAUUCCUCAGCUGCUGAGCAGGAGCCUGGAGCCACACUUGCUGCCUGGUACUACUGACACACAACUGGAACCACCGCUGUGGCCUGGGGUGCCACCAGAAGCCAGAGAUUAGAAUUGCUUUCCCCAUCUCAUAUCUUCCAAACUCCCACCAGUGCCUCCCACUGGCUGAGUCAGAUGACAAGGGAGUCUGGGAAAUGUAGUUGUUUGGCUUCCAGCCCUGACCAUGGAGAGUAUAGAAAGGCAGGUGUAGGGGAGAAAAUAGAUGCCAUUCACACAGCGCCUAUCUUGCAGGGCUGUUUUGAGGAGUAAAAACUCAGCCUAUUUUUAUUCCUCAUAGCAUGUAGUAGCAUUCAGGGAAAGGCAAAUCUUCCAAAACAAUAUCUUAGGUAUAAUAGUUCUACAUAAAGGUUUGAAUUUACCAUUAAAAGCAUCAAAAUGAGCAUUUUAAAAGUAGAAUUUUAAGUCUGAAUGGGCAGUAUAUUCACAUGGUAUAAAAUUCAAAUUACAAAACAAUAUACAGUGAAAAAUAAGGGGGUUUUUUUGCUCAUCUUCUUGUGACCUGGCUCUUUCCAUCUCUGUCCACAACCCUCUGCAGGCAAUAACUGGUACCUUUGUUAUGGAUCCUCUGCAGAUAUAAAGUAGACAUAUAUUAACAAAUGUUUUCUUUGGCCCAGAGGAUGCAUAUUAUGCACAUUCCUCCAUUUCUUGUUUGUUUUUGUUUUUUCCACUUAAUUGUAUCUUGGAGAUCACUCUGUAUCAGUAUAUAUCUGAUUUGUUUUAGCAGUACAUGAUAAUCCAUUGUUUGGAUAUGCCAUAAUUGUAUCAGCCAGUCUCUGGACAGUCUUUUACUAUUUCAAGGAGUGCUGCAGUAAACAUGUUUGCGCCACUUCCUGGUACCCAUUGCAAAUAAAACUGGGAUAAUUUCCUGACGAGAACUUGCUGGGUCAGAGUGUAGGCACUUGUUGUUUUGAUAAAUAUUGCCAGACUACACCCCACUCCCUCCAGCAGUACAUGACACUGCCUAUUUCCCCACAGCUGUGCCAGCAUGGUCUGUUAGCAAGUGUUUUCUUUUUGCAAAUUUAAAAGUGGUAUCUCGCUAAAUGCAAUAUGGUAGCAGAGGACAUUUGUGGAAAAACAGGUGAAAUCUGGGCUGGGUGUGGUGGCUCAUGCCUAUAAUCCCAGCACUUUGGGAGGCCGAGGCAGGCGGAUCACAAGGUCAGGAGUUCGAGACCAGCCUGGCCAAUAUAGUGAAACCCCGUCUCUACUAAAAAUACCAAAAAAAGUUAGCUGGGCAUGGUGGUGCAAGCCUGUAAUCUCAGCUACUCGGGAAGCUGAGUCAGGAGAAUCGCUUGAACCUGGGAGGCGGAGGUUGCAGUGAGCCAAGAUCAUGCCACUGCACUCCAGCCUGGGUGAUGGAGUGAGACUCUGUCUCAAGAAAGGAAAAAAAAAACAAAAAACAGGUGAAAUCUGAAUGGGGUCUUGAGUUCAGUUAAUAGUAACUGCCAAUGUUGGUUCUUAGUUUUGACACAUACCAUGACUAUGUGAGAUGUUAAUGUCAGGGGAACCAGGAUGAAGGCUAUACAGAACUGUACUAUUUUUGCGACUUCUCUGUACAUCUAAAAUUAUCCUUAAAAAGGUUUCUUUAAAAAAUGACAUCUUGUUUUCUGUAAAAUUUGAAUUUCUCAUGAGUGAAAUGGAACGUUUUGAAUAUGAUGCUCUUUUUAAAAGGUGGCCUUAAUAAUUUGUAUUUACUAAGGAAAAAAGUCAGAGUUUAUUUACUUUAAAAAAAUUCAGGCCGGGCGUGGUGGCUCAUGCCUGUAAUCCCAGCACUUUGGGAGGCUGAGGCGGGCGGAUCACGAGGUCAGGAGAUCAAGACCAUCCUGGCUAACAUGGUGAAACCCUGUCUCUACUAAAAAUACAAAAAAUGAGCCGGGCGAGGUGGCAGGCGCCUGUAGUCCCGGCUACUCUGGAGGCUGAGGCAGGAGAAUGGCGUAAACCCGGGGGGUGGAGCCUGCAGUGAGCAGAGAUUGCGCCACUGCACUCCAGCCUGGGGGACAGAGCGAGACUCCGUCUGAAAAAAAAAAAAAAUUCAUUAACAGUACAUUUAAAAUUUCUGUUACUGGAGAUUGUAUUUCUCAUUCCAUCCAUUAAUGUGCAGCUUCAAUGUUUUCCCCCAGAUAUGCAAUUUCACUUACAGGAUCUUGUUCUUCAGUGACAUGUCAUAAGAGUUAAUAAUUCCACAAGCCACCCUGCACUGCUGUGAUCCUAACAAUAUUGAAAGGUUGGUGUGUAUCCUUUCCUACCUUUCCUCAUUCUAAAAUGUUUCCUCGUUCUAAAUGCCAAGCUGGUUUUGAACAACUGACCUCAGGUGAUCCACCUACCUUGGCCCCUCAAGGUGCUGGGAUUAUAGGCAUGAGCUAACAUGCCCAGCCCUAAUCUGCUCUUCUUAGAUGGAUACUUGUCAGAUUGGGUUAAGACCCACUCUCAUGGCCUCAUUUUAACUUAAUUUUCUCUUUAAUAAAAGUCCAAAUGCAGUCCAUUCUGAAGUACUGGGAGGUUAAGAUUGUGUUAUUUGAAUUGAAGUGAGGGUGAGGGGCAGGGGCACACAACUCAGCCCAUAACACGUAGGAUUAAAAAAAUUCUUCGGGUCCGGGGAGGUGGCUCACACCUAUAAUCCCAGCACUUUGGGAGGCCAAGGUGGGAGGAUCACUUGAGCCCAGGAACUGGAGGAUGCAGUGAGCUAUGACUGCACCACUGCACUCCAGCCUGGGUGACAGAGUGAGACCCUGUCUCAAAAAAUAAAGUGAAGCCUCAGCCUCAGCAUACAGUGAGGCAGUGUGUGUGUGCAGUGAAUCGAAGUUCCAGUCAUCAUUACUUCAUUUCAGGGCUCCACACUGCCAUCUGGGCAUCCCCAGGCCUCUCUGGACUGGCCCUGCCCCACCCUCAUGGAGGUAGCCUUUACCUGGCAGGCACCUCAGAGGCUGGUCCUAUAUGUCACAUCAUUGAGAUAAAAAGAAAUCCAAGGCUGGAAGCAGUGACAAAUGGUGUGGACUUGGUGGAAGUUGCCCAGGGAGAUGGAUGAGAAUGGUGACAUCACACAUAGCACGGCUUUUUCUCCAAAAUCCCAGGACUUACCACAGUGGCCACACUCUGUCUCUCACCUGUUCACUUUCUUCUGCUCGCUCGCUCUCUCUCAGCCUCCCCUGUCCCACCUUUUCCAUAUGCGAAGACUCUCCCCCAGCACCCCUGUGGUGGUUUAAAAGCAUGGCAGCAAACUCCUCGGCAUUCCUUCCUUCAGGGUGGUGCCUAAGUCCCCUCCCAGGGAAUCUGAGUGGGCCUAUAACUGCUUCAGUCAGCAGGGUGUAGAGGAAGUGAUGCUGAAUGACUUUUAAGGUUGGCUCCUAAAAGGCCAUAGAGGCUCUGUCACUGGAGCUCCCUGUGCUGUGAUGGAAGUCUGAAGUCUUAAUGCUGAAGAAGCCCAAGCCAUGUGGAGAGGCCAGGUGUCAAAGCUCUAGUGAGCAUCACAGCUGAGCAGGGACAGGGCCCUCUGCUUCUUGUGGAGCCCUCUCUAGAUUCCCCACACACAGAAUCCACAAGCAGAAUGAAGUGGCUGUGAUUUGAUGCCCCUGGUUUCCUUGUUAUGCAGCAGUAGAUCACUGAAAUCAACCCCCUUCUAAAGGCCUCUCUGCAGACAUUCUCCACUUGGUGAGACCAAAGCUAGCCUAACAGGGCUCAGCAGCAGAGAAGCCCAGCCAUUGGCCAAAAAAGCCACUGGCUACCAUGCAGCCAGGAUGUCCUUGGGGAGCCUUGAUCUAUCCCACCACAUCAACAUUUCCACCUCAGACAUGGGAAAGGCACCAAGGUGUGAGCAUGGGCAGUACUCCUAGGGAACCCCAAGCACACCCCAUUGCCCCAAGAUGCAAAUGGAACUCCUCACUGGUCCCAUAGUUUUACAAUGUGAGUCUAGGAAAGCACAGAUGAGCCCUCUUUUAUGUUAUUGUCCGCCUUGGCGGAGAAUGGAAACAGCAAGAAUGCUGAGCUUGUGGUGCAGACUUGGAGAUGCAUUUGUCACUAGAACCUUAGCGCGUGCUUGUACAACCCUGGUGGUGGAGAGAUGAAUGGACGAGGCCCCUCCUUUCCAUAGCUCAUGUGGCCAGCCCCUCAUCUAAGGCAGGGGCCAAAACAGAGCAGGAAUGUGGAAGGGUGGCCAGCUGUCCUGGCUUGCCUGGGCCUGAGGGGAGUCCCAGGGCAUGGGAUUUUUAGUUUUAAUAUUGGGAGAGUUUUGGGCAAACUGGGCCAAGUUGGUCACAUGAGGGUGUGGCAAGCAAGGCAAAGAUGGUUUGAUCAUUGCAGCCCCUCACUUCCCAUAGCUCACUGCAGAGCCUGUGUCAUCCUGACAACAACGAUGUGGAAGGUGAGACAUCUGGCAGCAUUUUGACUUCAUGAACUGGGAAACGCACAUGGGUGGAGGCGCCUGCCCACGCUGCCCAGUGUCUCAUGGUGGCCACAAGAGGCUGCGGCUCCUGUUGCUCAAACAGGGCCCUGUUCUUGUCCAGCAUUUCCACAGCAAGGCCCCUGCUCACACCAGACACUUCCAGGGAACCCUUGGCCAGAUGACAGCAGUUGCUCUGGUAGUUAACGUUAUGGGAAACAGAUUCUAGGAAGCGCCCAUGCAUCGCAUCACACUUUUUCAUCUCUCCUUCUGUCCAUCCUUCUGCCCACUCCUAGUUAGGGCAUGUGUGCUCCAGGCUGGGAGCCAGGGCAGCCUCAUGGGUCAGCCCCAUCCGCAAGGAACCCAUGUCUGGGGAGACAGGCAUUCAAGAAUGAGAUAUUUUCAGGUGAGUGCUAGGCAGGCGAUAUCACUGAACAUACUUAGGGGUGAGUGGGGAAGGAGGUCUACCUAGGUAAGGAGGUAUGUGAGUCUGUCCUAGCCAAAUACCACAGACUGGGUGGUUGAAACAACACAGUUCCUGCUCACAGUUCUGCAGGCUGAAGUGCAAGAUCAAGGUGCUGGCAGAUCCCGUUCCGGCUGAAGGCAGAUGUCUGCCUUCUUGUGUCCCCACAUGGCUGAGAGACACAGAGAGUUCUCUCCUUAUAAGCAUACCCUUUCUGUCAGAUUAAGAUGCCACCCUGUGGCCUCAUUGCACCUUCGUUGCCUCCUAAAAGCCCCGUUUCCAAGUACAGUCCCAUUCUGAGGUCCUGGGAGUUAGGUCCUUAACACAGGAAUUCUAGGCGGACACAAUUCAGUCCCUAGCACCCCCGUUCCCAGUUGGAUCAAGGCCUCAAAAUGAAGACAGGCUUGUCUCACCUCACCUGUCCCUCUUCUGAGAAGCUGCAAGACUGAGAGGGAGCUGGAGAUAAUAGGUUGAUUUGGGACAAGGACACUACAGGGUGAGGACAUGGCUCUGUGUCCCAAGGUUUUGGGGCAGCAGACUGGUGGAGGACCAUGCUCAAGGGUUCUGAAGGGGAGCAGCUUCCUUGGCAGCCCGAGGCCCAAGACACAGAGGGCAGAGCACACAGAUACGAGCUGGGGCUGGAUACAUUGCUGACUCUGGGUAGAAGGCGAUGGAAAUGAGGGUCUGACGCUAUGUUCAAUCCUGUCCCACCCUAUGUGAUGGCUGGAGGGACAAGGGAACCCCAGUAGGAUGAUGGAUUCCUAGGGGUUGCAAAAGGAAUGGGCAGGGCCAGCCAUCACUGAGACAGCACCCAGGCGGUCUCGUAGGUUUUGCUUAGAGACUGUGUGCUCCACUUGCCAUUGCCAGGAGAGGCAUCCACCCAGGCGUCCAUGAAUACAUGGAUACACACAAGGAGGUGCAGCCACAUGAUACAAUGUGAUUCAGCUAAAGGAGAGUGGAGCUCCGGUCCAUGGACCUUGCGGAGGCACCUUGAGAACAUUGUUCCGGGUGAAAGAAGCCAGACACAAAAUAAAAUAUUGUAUGGUUACAACAAUGUGGAAAUGUCCAGAACAGGCACAUCCACAGAGACAGAAACCAGAUGUGUUACUGCCAGGGGCUGGGGGCAGGAGGGAAAAUGGGGAUGGCUUCUCGGGGGAAUGAGGUUUCUUUUGGGAGAUGAGAAUGUUUUGGAAGUAGAUAGAGGCGAUGGCUGUGCCACAUUGUGGAUGCACCAAAUGCAACUGAAUUGUACUCUGAAAUGAUUAAUUGUACAUUGUGUGAAUUUCACCUAAAUUUAAAGAAAAAGGUGACCAUGAGAGCAAAAUCUGUCCCAGCCAUGGAAACCCCCGGGCUCACCUGGGUACACUUAAACCGAACUCUCUGGCCCCUUGCUGGUCUACCUCCCCAGCCCAGACCAACAAAUAGCAGGUCCUGGAGAUAUCUGGGCAGCAUCCACACAUCAUUUCCAUAGAGCACAUGCCAGGGGCCCUGGCAUGAGUGGGACAGAGAUGAGGGAGACCACCGCAGAGAGCCACAGGAUAGAUACUGUGCUGCUCACAAAGGUCCUUUAAAAUUUUCCAGCAGCGGCUGGGCAUGGUGGCUCAUGCCUGUAAUCCCAGCACUUUGGGAGGCCAAGGUGGGUGGAUCACUUUAGGUCAGGAGUUCAAGACCAACCUGGGCAACACGGUGAAACCCCGUGUCUACUAAAAUACAAAAAAUUAGCCAGGAGUGGCAGCGUGUGCCUGUAGUCCCAGUUACUCGGGAGGCUGAGGCAGGAAAAUCGCUUGAACCAGGGAGGCGGAGGUUGCAGUGAGCCAAAAUCACGCCACUGCACUCCAGCCUGGGCGACAGAGUGAGACUGUCUCCAGAACAAACACAAUUUUCCAGUAGCAACACUUAAAAAGUAAAAGGAGGUGAAAUUAUGUUUUCUCUUUGAGACAGAGUCUUGCUCUGUCGCCCAGGCUGGAAUGCAGUGGCGCAAUCUCAGCUCACUGCAACCUCCGCCUCCUGGGUUCAAGCGAUUCUUUGGCCUCAGCCUUGCAAGCAGCUGGGAUUACAGGCAUGUGCCACCAAGCCUGGCUAAUUUUUGUAUUUUUAGUAGAGAUGUGGUUUUGCCAUGUUGGCCAGGCCUGUCUCGAACUCCUGACCUAAAGUGAUCCACCUGCCUCGGCCUCCCAAAAUGCUGGGAUUACAGGCAUAAACCACUACGCCUGGCCUGAAGUUAAUUUUAAUAAUAUAUUUUACUUAACCCAGUAUAUAUCCAAAAAGUAUCAUUUCAUCAUGUCAAUUAGAAUUUAUGAGUGAGACAUAGGUGGGAGUUGAACAAUGAGGACACAUGGACACAGGGCGGGGAACAUGACACACCGGGGCCGGUGGGAGUCGGGGGCAGUGGGAGGGAUAUCAUUAGGAGAAAUACCUAAUGUAAAUGAUGAGUUGAUGGGUGCAGCACACCAACAUGGCACAUGUAUUCCUAUGUAACAAACUUGCACAUUGUGCACAUGUACCCUAGAACUUAAAGUAUGAUAAUAAUUUAAAAAGGAAUUUGAGAUAUUUUAACAUUCUUUUUCUUUCUUUCUUUUUUUUUAUUUUUUUGAGACGGAGUCUUUCUCUCUCGCCCAAGCUAGAAUGCAGUAGUGUGAUCUUGGCUCACUGCAACCUCCGCCUCCCAGGUUCAAGUGAUUCUCCUGGCUCAGCCUCCCGAAUAGCUGGGACUACAGGCACAAGCCACCACACCUGGCUAAUUUUUGUAAUUUUAGUAGAGGCAGGGUUUCACCAUAUUGGUCAGGCUGGUGUUGAACUCCUGACCUCAGGUAAUCCACCUGCCUUGGCCUCCCAAAGUGCUGGGAUUAAAGGCGUGAGCCACCACACCCAGCCAACAUCCCUUGUCUCCCCUCCCCUCCCUUCCUCCUCCCCUCCCUCUUCCCUCCCCUUUUCUUCCCCCUUUUUGAGACAGACUCUUGCUCUGUCGCCCAGGCUGGAGUGCAGUGGUGCAAUCUCGGCUCACUGCAACCUCCGCCUUCCAGUUUCAAGCGAUUCCUCUGCCUUAGCCUCCUGAGCAGCUGGGACUACAGGCACGCACCACCACGGCUGGCUAAUUUUUUGUAUUUUAGUAGAGACGGGGUUUCACCAUGUUGGCCAGGAUGGUCUCGAUUUCCUGACCUCGUGAUCUGCCCACCUCGGCCUCCCAAAGUGCCGGGAUUACAGGAGUGAGCCACUGCGCCCAGCCAACAUUAUUUUUCUUCAUACUGACUCUUCCAAAUUCUCUGUGGGGUUUUGCACUUGGAGAGUAUCUCACAGAUCCUGAAACCCAGGGACUCCUAGAAACUUCUCUCCAAUUCUUUAGAGAGAACGCUGCAGCUCGGAGGGGCCUCGGGGGGAUCUGGUGUGACUUUUCCCAUUUCCACAGAGGAAACCCAGCGAAGCCUAGGGAGGUCCUAAGAUGACCCUGGGGCCCCAGUGUAAGCUUGCAGCGGAGCCAGGACCAAAUGCCUGUCCCACCAGCCCUCGCCUCCCUGCUAGGGCCCAAGGCGUCUCUGCUCUUCCGGAUGGAGAAAGAAGCUGCCUUUUGAGGCUGCAUCUCAUCUUGUGGUUUGGGGUUGGAGUUGGGAGAGAAUGCCUGAGAAAAGGUCAGGUGUGGUGGCUCACACCUGUAAUCCCAGCACUUUGGGAGCCCGAGGCGGGCAGAUCACGAGGUCAGGAGUUCAAGACCAGUGUGGCCAAUAUGGUGAAACUCUGUCUCUACUAAAAAUACAAAAAAUAGCCAGGCGUGGUGGCGCAUGCCUGUAGUCCCAGCUACUCGGGAGGCUGAAGCAGAAGAAUCGCUUGAACUCAGGAGACUGAGGUUGCAGUGACCCAAGAUCAUGCCACUGCACUCCAGCCUGGGUGACAAAGCAAGAUUCCGUCUCAAAAAAAAAAGAAAAAAGAAAAUGCCUGAGAAGAUAGGAAUUGGUGGAGAUGAGGGGACACAGGUCCCCAGGCCUCCUGGACUUACAUAGCCUGGGAAGGCGGAGUCAGAAGAAGGAGGAUGGUAUGCGGGAAGAGAGGCAAGAAAGAUGCCAGCGAGGGAGAACAGCAGGGGGCAUGGGAAUAAUUUGGGAUUUGCUUCCACGGAUUGGGGGGGCGACAGGUCUUAGCUUCCUGUGGCCACUGUAGCAAAUGACCAGAAAUGGGGUGGCUUCAAACAGCAAGCAUUUGUUCAGAAGAAUGAAAUCAGGGUGCUGGGAGGGCCGUGUUCCCUGAGAGGCUCUGGAGAGAUGCUCCCUCCCUCUCCCACUUCUGGUGGCUGUGGCCUGCCUGGACUCGUGGCCUUGUCACGCCAGCCUCUGCCUCAUGGUUGCACGUCAGCCUUCUUGGUCUCAACUCUCCCUCCGCCUCCCUCGUAUAAAGACACUUGGUUGGGUUUAGGGCCCACCCAGAUAAUCCAGGAUGAUCUCCUCAUCUCAAGAUCCUUAAUCUCACUGGGUGUGGAGGCUCACGCCUGUAAUCCCAGCACUUUGCGAGGCUGAGGUGGGAGGAUCUCUUGAGCCCAGGAGGUCGAGGCUGCAGUGAGCUGAGAUUACACCACUGCACUCCAGCCUGGGCGACAGAGCGAUAUCCUGUCUCAAAAUAAUCAUCAUCGUAAUGAAAGAUCCUUAACCUAAGUACAUUGACAGAUAUUUUUCCAAAUAUAGUGGCACUCACGGGUUCUAGGAAUUAGGAUGUGGGCAUGUCACUUUGAGGGUCACCAUUCAACGCACUGCAAAGUGACAGAGUGAGAACAUCAGUCCAAAAGUAAGGAGAGACCCUGUGCCAUCAGAGACGGUGUAUCCUGUGGAGUCAUUCAGGCAGGUGACUUGGAACAGGGAGUUUCAGCGUAGUGAGCCCUUGGUGCCUGGCUUAGGAGUGAAUGAGAUUAGGAGGUUACAGAGGCCUUCCUAAGAGGCCCCAAGAGUCUUCCAGACCUCAGCACCCCCAUCUGGAGGGGAGCAGUGGGGCCCUGUUGCCCUCACACCUGUGUCUCUAUUGUCUGAAAGUUCAGUAGAAGGGAGUUCACCACCUCUGUCACCUCUGUCAGCUCCUGCCUGGGGGCCACUCUCUCCUCACCCAGACACAGGCUCCCCAGCCAGAUCACUCUGGAACUUUCCCUGGCAGCUCAGAGUGGCAGGAGUCAGAGCUGUGUUGACAUUGCACAUUUUUGAACCUGUCUACAGCAGCCUGGGUUGGGCACAACCUGGAAUUGCCCUCAGGAGCUGCCUUGGGCCUGUGCAUCAGUGAGGCCAGGGCGGCCGCCUCUGUACUGACCUGCCAGUCGGCUGGCUCUUCCUGCUUCCUUCCUGCUGCUCCAGGCCUCCCAGGUCUAGCACACGUGCAUUCAUUGUGGCCAGGAGUCCUGCAUUGAGGCUCAGGACACCUGGGUCUCUGUCCCACCUGCCCCUAACCUGUCACCCCACCUUGGGGCCUUGGUUUCUCUCCUUUAAAAAGGAGUUGAAUUAUGGAAGGUUUCUUCCAGCUUGGUCCUCUGUACAGGGGAUUGUGCCAAGCAUGGGUGGUGGGCAAGAGUUAAGGAGGAAGGUGGCUGGCUAUAGUGGCUCACGCCUGUAAUCCUAGCACUUUCGGAGGCCAAGGCGGGCGGAUCACUUGAGGUCAGGAGUUUGAGACCAGCCUGGCCAACAUGGUGAAACUCUACUAGAAAUACAAAAAUUAGCCGGGCGUGAUGACAGGCGCCUGUAAUCCCAGCUGCUCCGGAGGCUGAGACGUGGGAAUCACUUGAACCCGGGAGGCAGAGGUUGCAGUGAACUGAGAUUGCACCACUGCACUCCAGCCUGACUUUUUGAGACUCUGUUUCAAAAAAAAAAAAAAAAGGAAAAGGAAAAGGAAGGUGAUGGCAGGUAGGGGUUUCCUGAGAGACUAUGAGGGGAGCCCAGGGCCAGAGAGAGCAGGGAAGGCCCAGCCAGCGACUGCUAUCUAUAGAGUGGGCCAGUGCCUGUCAGGUCACUGUAUCCUCCCAGCAAACUCCUAUCCUUAUUUGUUCUGGAAUGUUCUCAGUGGUGUCUGGUGGAAUUGCUCUCCUAGGUAUAAGCUCAGAUUGGGUUUCUGCCCAUCCUGGGGUCAGCUGAGACAGGGUAGUGUGUGUUGUAGGGAGAAGCACUGAGCUGCCCUCUGACAUCCUUCGGCUACAGGGACCAAAACGAGUUUAGGAAGGGUGUGAUCUGAUACGUUUAUUCUUUUUUUUUUUUAAUUUUCAUUUUUCUUUUUUUUCCCCUCUUUUUUUUAGAGACGGGGUCUCGUGUUGCUCAGGUUAGAGUUCAGUGGCUAUUCACAGGCAUGAUCUCACUGCUAAUCAGCAUGGGAGUUUUGACCUGCUCCGUUUCCAGCAGAGGCUGGUUCACCUCUCCUUAGUCAACCUAGUGGUCCCCUGCUCCCAGGAGGCCACCAUGUUGGUGCUGAACUUAGUGUGAACACCUGAUUGGCAUAGCACACUACAGCCCAGAACUCCUGGGCUCAAGUGAUCCUCCCGCCUCAGCCUCCCGAGUGACUGGACUACAGGUGUGCCCCACGACACCCAGCUAACCAUUUUUUAAUGAAAAAAAAGUGUAGUUUUCUCCAUUUUUUUCAUUCAAAAAUCUUUCUUUCAGCUAAUACUUAUAAGCACCUGCUUUGUGCUAGGCUUAUUUGUGCAGUAAAUUCUUUUUUUUUUUUUUUUUGAGACAGAGUCUUGCUCUGUCGCCCAGGCUGGAGUGAGGAAGCCCUAAUAUAUAAUCUUCAGUCAACUGUUAAUCUGGAAGCCUCACCACAUUGCUUUUUGGAUUAGCAGAAUGCCAUCCUGGGGAAUCCCAGCAGAAAGGAAGAAAGGAGCACUGUCAGUCUUACUGGUCACCCCUGGCCAAGGCCCAGUCAUGACCCUUCCUUCCAUCUCCAUUUGAUCCCAUCAUAAACCUCAAGAAAAGUAAAAAGCAUCAUCAUCUUAGGAAAAAGUGUGGCGGGGGUGCUCAAUAUGUUGAUCAUGUUAUGGCAAGACUCCAGAUUAUCUCUCUUCUUCUUUUUUUUUUUUUUUUUUAGGCGGAGUCUCACUCUGUUGCCCAGGCUGGAGUGCAGUGGCGCAAUCUUGGCUUACUGCAAGCUCCGCCUCCCGGGUUCACGCCAUUCUCCUGCCUCAGCCUCCCGAGUAGCUGGGACUACAGGCUCCCGCCACCAUGCCCAGCUAAUUUUUUGUAUUUUUUAAUAGAGACGGGGUUUCACCGUGUUAGCCAGGAUGGUCUCGAUCUCUUGACCUCGUCAUCUGCCUGCCUCGGCCUCCCAAAGUGUUGGGAUUACAGGCAUGAGCCACCGCACCCAGCCCAACAUACAUUUUUAUUGCAGCUCACUCAGCCACCUUCUUCUGGAGCUACAGGCUUACUUCUCCCAGUCUUCCCUUCAAGCUAUUGUAGGCUACAGGUCUAACAAACAUUUCACCUCUGCAUGACAUAAGUCUCCCACUUUCCAUUCUGCAACAUCUAUUUUCAUGUUCCCUGCUGCCUGGCCACUAAGCCAAUGGUACAUAUUUUAGGUUUCAAGUUAUGGCGGCACUCUAUUUUGAGGUAUUCAUUAGUGCACACUAUCUCCUGUAACAAAUAGACCCCAAAAUGCAGAAUGAUUAAAACACCACAGAGAUGUGUUUCUCACAUAACAAGCCAGAGUGAGAGCUCAUUAGUGGCACGUGGCUUUUCUCCUGAAAAGCUGAAUGCAGUGAUUCGGAAACCCGUGUUCUUUACAGUUAGUAGAUUCACCCUUCCCAAGGCCUAGUAACCAAUGGUAUUCAGCGGUGGAACGGGAAAGAGAGAGCCUGGAGAGAGCCCAUAUCCAUACUCCUUGCAGAAUGCAGACCUCAGGCCCCAUCUGCUGUGUGGGUGGCAGGAGGUGCAGCUGUGUGCCCAUGAGUGAAAACCCAUUGAACUGCUAACAAUCUCUCCCACACUUCAGGGCUGUCCAUCAUCCAGCCAUCCCACCUCUCCAGUCUCAUCCCUUGACCUUCCCCCUGCCAGCCUCACUCAUCUUCAUUCGAUUCCUCAAGGAUGGCAUGACUCUCUCAUCUCUAGGUCUUUGCUCAUGUUGGUUAGUCCACCUGGAGCCCUCUCUCCCUCACUGUUCUAGCCAUUCACCCAGCCAGCCAGCCAUCCACUCAUCCACCAAACCAUCCACCCACCUACUCAUCCAGCCAUCCACCCAGCCAUCCAUUCACCCAUUCAUCCAGUCACCCACCCAUCCACCCAUCCACCCAUCCACCCAUCUACCCAUCCAUCCACCCACCCAUCUAUCCACCCAUUCAUCCACUCUUCCAUCCAUCUACCCACUCAUCCACCCAGCCAUUCAUCCACCCACACCCAUCCAUCCACCCACUCACUCAUGCAUCCACUCACCCAUCCACCCACACAUCCACUCAUUCAUCCACCCACCCAUCCACCCACUCACUCAUCCACCCACACAUCCACUCAUUCACCCAUCCACCCACUCAUCCACUCAGCCAUCCAUCCACCCACACCCAUCCACUGAUUCACCCACUCAUCUGCCCACCCAUCCAUCCACCCACUCAUCCACCCGUCCAUCUAUCCAUCCACCCACUCAUCUAUCCACCAAUCCAUCCAUCCACUCAUCCAUCUGUCCACCCACUCAUCCACCCACACCCAUCCAUCCAUCCACCCACUCAUCUGCCCACUCACCUAUCCUUCCAUCCAUCCACUCAUCUACCCAUCCAUCUAUCCACCCAAUCAUCUACCCACUCACCCAUCCACCCUUUAAUCCAUACACUCACUCAUCUACCCAUCCAUCUAUCCACCCACCCAUCCACCCAGCCAUUCACCCAUCCACCCAUCCAUCCAUCCACCCACCCACCAUCCACCCACCUAUCCACUAAUUCACCCACCCACUCAUCCAUUCAUUCAUCCAUUUACCCAUCCAUCCAUCCACCCACCUAUCCACACACCCAUCCACUAGUUCACCCACCCACCCACCCAACAAAUGUUUUGAGCAC
Molecule: long non-coding RNA, 17725 nt
Filed under: Homo sapiens (human)
Lineage: Eukaryota; Metazoa; Chordata; Mammalia; Primates; Hominidae
Description: non-protein coding lnc-DHRS7B-1:8
Rfam family: Metazoan signal recognition particle RNA (bases 12499-12646)
Source: RNAcentral